ACGAACGCUGGCGGCGUGCCUAAUACAUGCAAGUAGAACGCUGAAGAGAGGAGCUUGCUCUUCUUGGAUGAGUUGCGAACGGGUGAGUAACGCGUAGGUAACCUGCCUUGUAGCGGGGGAUAACUAUUGGAAACGAUAGCUAAUACCGCAUAACAAUGGAUGACACAUGUCAUUUAUUUGAAAGGGGCAAUUGUUCCACUACAAGAUGGACCUGCGUUGUAUUAGCUAGUAGGUGAGGUAAUGGCUCACCUAGGCGACGAUACAUAGCCGACCUGCGAGGGUGAUCGGCCACACUGGGACUGAGACACGGCCCAGACUCCUACGGGAGGCAGCAGUAGGGAAUCUUCGGCAAUGGGGGCAACCCUGACCGAGCAACGCCGCGUGAGUGAAGAAGGUUUUCGGAUCGUAAAGCUCUGUUGUAAGUCAAGAACGGGUGUGAGAGUGGAAAGUUCACACUGUGACGGUAGCUUACCAGAAAGGGACGGCUAACUACGUG
This 496-nucleotide ribosomal RNA is filed under the name uncultured bacterium. RNAcentral describes it as "partial 16S ribosomal RNA". It matches the Rfam family "Bacterial small subunit ribosomal RNA", at positions 29 to 507 of the family's 1533-position model. The record is from RNAcentral.